This 253-nucleotide ribosomal RNA is filed under the name uncultured bacterium. Its description in RNAcentral is "partial 16S ribosomal RNA". It matches the Rfam family "Bacterial small subunit ribosomal RNA", at positions 524 to 776 of the family's 1533-position model. The record is from RNAcentral.
UACGUAGGGUGCAAGCGUUGUCCGGAAUUAUUGGGCGUAAAGAGCUCGUAGGCGGUUUGUUGCGUCGGCUGUGAAAUCCCGAGGCUCAACCUCGGGUCUGCAGUCGAUACGAGCAAACUAGAGUGUUGCAGGGGAGACUGGAAUUCCUGGUGUAGCGGUGAAAUGCGUAGAUAUCGGGAGGAACACCAGUGGCGAAAGCGGCCUUCUGGACCAUUCCUGACGCUCAGACGCGAAAGCUAGGGGAGCGAACGGG